RNAcentral lists this ribosomal RNA (253 nucleotides) under uncultured bacterium. RNAcentral describes it as "partial 16S ribosomal RNA". It matches the Rfam family "Bacterial small subunit ribosomal RNA", at positions 524 to 776 of the family's 1533-position model. The record is from RNAcentral.
CACGUAGGACGCAAGCGUUAUCCGGAAUUACUGGGCGUAAAGAGCGUGUAGGCGGUGCUGUAAGUCAACCGUGAAAGCUCCCGGCUAAACUGGGAGAGGUCGGAUGAGACUGCAGCGCUAGUGGGUCGUAGAGGAAUGUGGAAUUCCGGGUGUAGUGGUGAAAUGCGUAGAGAUCCGGAGGAACACCAGAGGCGAAGGCGACAUCCUGGACCGGCAUUGACGCUGAGGCGCGAAAGCUAGGGGAGCAAACGGG